This 333-nucleotide long non-coding RNA is filed under the name Mytilus galloprovincialis (Mediterranean mussel). Lineage: Eukaryota; Metazoa; Mollusca; Bivalvia; Mytilida; Mytilidae. The record is from RNAcentral.
GAAAACUCGACGUUCGUGACGUCACAUACCAAACAAUACGUCAUUCAAAAAAUUUACCUAUUUUGAGGAAAAUUUUUCUUAAGCAAAAAAAAAACCAAAACUGACUUUAUGUAAAAAAAAAAAAAAAAAAAAAAAAAAAGUAGGGGUGUGAUAAAGGGUAGGGGUGUGAUAAAGGGUAUGCGAUAAAGGGUAGGGGUGUGAUAAAGGGUAUGCGAUAAAGGGUGCGCAUCAAAGUUGCGCGAUAUUGAUUAAACAGCAGGCUAUUUAUCACAUAUGCAAAACUACUGUAUUUACUACUAAACAUAUGAUAAAUAUUGAUAUUCAGUACAUUUU